RNAcentral lists this ribosomal RNA (26 nucleotides) under Selenicereus undatus. RNAcentral's name for it is "Hylocereus undatus partial 18S ribosomal RNA". Lineage: Eukaryota; Viridiplantae; Streptophyta; Magnoliopsida; Caryophyllales; Cactaceae. The record is from RNAcentral.
UAGGUGAACUUGUGGAAGGAUCAUUG